This 253-nucleotide ribosomal RNA is filed under the name uncultured bacterium. RNAcentral's name for it is "partial 16S ribosomal RNA". It matches the Rfam family "Bacterial small subunit ribosomal RNA", at positions 524 to 776 of the family's 1533-position model. The record is from RNAcentral.
GACGAACCGUGCGAACGUUGUUCGGAUUCACUGGGCUUAAAGGGCGCGUAGGCGGGCAACCAAGUCAGGGGUGAAAUCCUUCGGCUCAACCGGAGAACAGCCCCUGAUACUGGUCGUCUGGAGGGAGGUAGGGGUCUGUGGAACUUCUGGUGGAGCGGUGAAAUGCGUAGAUAUCAGAAGGAACGCCGGUGGCGAAAGCGACGGACUGGACCUUCUCUGACGCUGAGGCGCGAAAGCUAGGGGAGCAAACGGG